CCUCAACUCCCUCACUUUUCUCCCUUGUCUUCCAACACUGCGUCAACUCCCCCCCCCCCAUUCUCGCCAUCUAAUCAUUCAGUCAGAAAACCUCUCUCUCCCUCCAUUCCCACCAUCUAAUCAUUCAGUCAGAGCUCCUCUCUCUCCCCCAUUCCCCAAUCUAAUCAUUCAGUCAGAGCUCCUCUCUCUCCCCCAUUCCCCAACCUAAUCAUUCAGUCAGAGCUCCUCUCUCUCCCCCAUUCCCCACAUCUAAUCAUUCAGUCAGAGCUCCUCUCUCUCCCCCAUAUCUAAUCAUUCAGUCAGAGCUCCUCUCUCCCCCCAGUCCCCCUAUCUAAUCAUUCAGUCAGAGUUCCUCUCCCCCAGUCCCCCUAUCUAAUCAUUCAGUCAGAGUCCCUCUCCCUCCAGUCCCCCUAUCUAAUCAUUCAGGCAGAGCUCCUCUCUCCCCCCAUUCCCCCUAUCUAAUCAUUCAGUCAGAGUCCUCUCACCCCAGUCCCCCUAUCUAAUCAUUCAGUCAGAGCUCCUCUCCCCCAGUCCCUCUAUCUAAUCAUUCAGUCAGAGCUCCUCUCUCUCCCCCAUUCCCCACAUCUAAUCAUUCAGUCAGAGCUCCUCUCUCUCCCCAUUCCCCCAUCUAAUCAUUCAGUCAGAGAUCCUCUCUCUCUCCCCAUUCCCCCAUCUAAUCAUUCAGUCAGAGCUCCUCUCUCUCCCCCAUUCCCCACAUCUAAUCAUUCAGUCAGAGCUCCUCUCUCUCCCCAUUCCCCAUCUAAUCAUUCAGUCAGAGCUCCUCUCUCUCCCCAUUCCCCCAUCUAAUCAUUCAGUCAGAGAUCCUCUCUCUCUCCACCCAUUCCCCCAUCUAAUCAUUCAGUCAGAGCUCCUCUCUCUCCACCCAUUCCCCACAUCUAGUCAUUCAGUCAGAGCUCCUCUCUCUCCACCCAUUCCCCACAUCUAAUCAUUCAGUCAGAGCUCCUCUCUCUCCACCCAUUCCCCACAUCUAAUCAUUCAGUCAGAGCUCCUCUCUCUCCACCCAGUCCCCACAUCUAAUAAUACAGUCAGAGCUCCUCUCUCUCCCUCCAUUCCCCACAUCUAAUCAUUCAGUCAGAGCUCCUCUCUCUCCCCCAUAUCUAAUCAUUCAGUCAGAGCUCCUCUCUCUCCCCCCAUCCCCCUAUCUAAUCAUUCAGUCAGAGUUCCUCUCCCCCAGUCCCCCUAUCUAAUCAUUCAGGCAGAGCUCCUCUCUCCCCCCCAUUCCCCCUAUCUAAUCAUUCAGUCAGAGUCCUCUCACCCCAGUCCCCCUAUCUAAUCAUUCAGUCAGAGUUCCUCUCCCCCAGUCCCUCUAUCUAAUCAUUCAGUCAGAACUCCUCUCUCUCCCCCAGUCCCCUUAUCUAAUCAUUCAGUCAGAGCUCCUCUCCCCCAUUCCCCCAUCUAAUCAUUCAGUCAGAGCUCCUCUCUCUCCCCCAUUCCCCACAUCUAAUCAUUCAGUCAGAGCUCCUCUCCCCCAUUCCCCCCAUCUAAUCAUUCAGUCAGAGCUCCUCUCUCUCCCCC
Oncorhynchus tshawytscha (Chinook salmon) is the source of this 1536-nucleotide long non-coding RNA. The record is from Ensembl. Lineage: Eukaryota; Metazoa; Chordata; Actinopteri; Salmoniformes; Salmonidae.